Long non-coding RNA from Oreochromis niloticus (Nile tilapia), 3340 nucleotides. RefSeq lists it as uncharacterized. Lineage: Eukaryota; Metazoa; Chordata; Actinopteri; Cichliformes; Cichlidae. The record is from RefSeq and is a predicted model, not a curated record. The transcript is spliced from 3 exons.
CACAGCAAUGUGGAGGUACCAAACUGUGUUAACGGUUUUCUUCAUCCUGAACCCGGUCACCCAGAUAACCACUCCAUUCCCGAGCAUACCGAGGACAGAGACCAGGGAGAAAACAACAGCAUCCACGGUGAAACCUGUAAUAUCAAGAAAACAAAAAGAAAAGAAUAGAGACAUCAGGCUAGCUGGGUUAACAAGCUACCGCACCGACUGAGUCUUUAUGAAAAAAGGUAAGAGUCAUGGCGGGGAAGUGUGUGUUUACAUCAUUGACGCUUGGUGCUAAAAUGCUACUGUUGUGCACAAACACUGUCCUCCACUGGCAGAGUUUAUUAUCAUUGAGAAGAAAGGCAAGACCAUCAGACCCUGCAUAGAAUAUAUUGCAUUUGUUCACAUCUCCUUUUGAGUAAUUACAGGGAGCAACCAUCUUCAGUAAACUGGACAUGCAGAGUGCUUACCAUUUGGUAAGAGUAAAGGAAGCGGAUGAGUGGAUAAAUACCUCCACCAGGAAGACGAACUCAGCCGGCCUCACCUCUGCCAUUUUGAGUAUCUGGUGAUACCUUUUGGUCUUUCGAAUGUCCCCUCUGUGUUUCAGUCCCUCGUGAAUAACGUCCUCCAUGACUUCAUUAAUCACUUUGUCUUCGUCGACAUGCUUAUGUUUUUGAAAUCAGCCCAAGAACAUGAAACCCACGUCAGGCAAGUGCUACAAUGUUUGUUGGGGAAUAAACUUUUUGUCAAUGGAAAAAAAUAUGAAUUUCCUAUUGACACAGCUUCCUUCUUGUGCUACAGAGUAGAGAAAGGCAACCUCAAACCAGAGCCUGCAAAAGUGCAGGUAGUAGUAGACUUGCCAGUCCAUCUAACCACAUGCAUCUCCAAUGUUUCCAGAGUUUUGUUAACUUGUAUCACUGUUUCAUCUGAGAUUUCAGCAAAAUUGCCUUACUCUUAACACAUCUAACCUCUCCAAGAAGUCUCUUUCCAGUGGAAUCCUUCAGCAUAGUCAGUGUUUGAUCUCCUGAAGAAAUGUUUCGCCACCACUCCAGUCCUGUCCCAGCCUGAUAUUAACUGCUAAUUUAUCAUCGAAGUGGAUGCCUCAGACUCUGAUAUGAGAGCAGUCCUCUCUCAGUAACGGGAAACUGCAUCCAUGUGCUAAUUUCUCCUAGUUGUCUCCUUGAUUGCAGUGGGUAUGCCGAUCGCAACAGAACCCCUGCACCAACUUACACCAAAGGCCAGGUUUGGUUCUCUACUCAGUAAUUGGGAGUACACUCUCCCAGUUUGAUUGGACCAUGUGAAAUAGAGUCUAUGGACAACCCGGUUUUGUGCAUUUGAAGCUGCUUCUCAAUAUGCAAACUCAUAAUGCGUUCCGUGUAUCUCAACUAAAACCACUCUACAUUCUGGUGAAAUCACUGUAAAGUGCACUAAACUGUGAUUCAGUUCCAGUUCAGUUCCACACUGAUCACUAGAAUGUAGACCAUGACAAAUGUGUUCAUAUAGACCAUAUUUAUGGUGUAUCACACUCAGGGGUAGAGAUGUUGCAAAGAUGAAGUCAGCUACAGCAAGGUUGAGGUACUGAAAUGUACUGACUGUUUUCUUCAUCUUGAUCCUGGUCUCAGAUAUCCACUCGAUUCCAGAGCACGCCAAGGCAAGAGACCAGGGAGAAAACAACAAUACGCAUGUUGGUGAGAGACUGAAACAACUCAGCAUACACAGAGCCAUUUGGAUCAGGUGCAGCAGUUAUAUUGAUUUGACUGAAAGAGUUAAUUGUCAUAUCCAUCAUAGUCUUGAGACCAAUGAAGAUGAUAUAAAGAAACAAUAUAAAUGUCUGUAAAUCUUUAAUAUUUCUACUGUAAUGCUUGCAGACUAGAGAUUUUCUAUAUGAGCACAGAUUUAGGCACUGAAGGUUGUCUAGGCCUUCAUACUGUGGAGCUAAGAAAGAAGCAAAGAAGAGUAGAAAUUAUCAUAAAUUAAUGACAUAAAAUAACAAAAUUCAGAAAACCAGAAGUUUUCGCUCUUGAGAUGAAAAAUAACAAUACAGGAGUGUACUACGAAGUGAUUUACAUGUGUGCGACAUGUGGGGACAGUGUUAAAACAGUGACGUAUGAUAUUACUGAAGUCAUCUUUGAGUGGAGUAAGAAAAGAAGAACAUGUACACUUUCUCUUUGUUUGUCCUCCUGAACAGCAUGUUGGUGUAAUUUCACAAUAUGUAGACAUAAGCAUUAAAAUGCAAGUAUGAAAACAAGUUGAUGACCAAAACUUUAGAAAGCCUAUUUUGUAAACAUUUUAAAUAUUUUAUAAGCACUCAUAUACCAUAAUAUACAACCUUGAUGAGUGUCACUGAUGUCUGCAGUUAGUUUCUGCCAUAACAAUAAGAAAAUGUUUGCAUAUAUUCCUGGUUUGGAUACAGCUCUUUUUAUCGCUAUUCUGUAAAGUUCUUUUUAUUGCCAUUGUUUUUGUGUUUUUUUUCAAAGGUACUUUUAGCCCUUUUCAAAAACUGAUUGUCAUUAACUUUCUACGACAAAAUUCUAAUAACCAACAAAGUAUCCUUUAUCAGUCUUUAUGUAAAUUGGUUUAUGGAUAUUGUCAUCCUUUGAUUUUUUAUGUUAUGUUUUUAUUCCUUUGUGAAAAUCUUUUCACUUUUUAAUUUUGAAAGGGAGUAUGUGAUUACCCAUAACACAAAGUUUUCAAAAACUGAGAAAUUCUCAGCUGCUCUAAAGAGACAGAGACAGAAAAACGAUUGUUGUGUUGUCAUUAAUGUACCAUGCAACUUGUUAUAGCGAAAAAUUACCGCAUCCUGUUUUGCCAUCUUGCUUGAAAUUUCUUGUUAACUCUUACAGUCAUCAAUGUUCUUCUUGUGCUUGGUCAGUGUUAAGUUUUGAAAGACGUUUGGGACCAUGAGAUAUACACUGUGUGGCAUUGCUUAUUGACAAUAACACAGCCUAACAAUACCAAAUUUUUUUCAAUUUUCUUUAAGGUAAAUUUAACUUAAAACUUAAAUAUCUCUUCACUCCAUUAUAUAUUCCAUAUGUACAGGGAAUAACACCCUUUGGUCAUGGUGCAUGGAUGAUACUUUAAGACAAUCCUGCCAGCCUGGCCAUGCCCCACGGCUUACCUAUAAAACAGCUGUGCGGCGAUGGUUUGAUCAGAAUGCUUCACCAGUCAGCCAGAUGCAAGACUGGCCUGAACGAGUCCCACAAGUUGCGAGGACCGCAACAGAGCGGGCUGCUUAUGGUCAAAAACCGCUACUGCUUAUGGUUUAUGUCUCUGUGUUUCUUAGUUGCUGUCUCCACUGUGCCAAGUUCGCGUCUCUGUGUCAUACUUCCUGUUUUACUUUGAAGGUCCGUGUCUUAUG